AGUCGAGGGCUUUACUGUCUCUUACUUCCWAUYSGUGAMAUUGACCUUCCCGUGAAGAGGCGGGAAUAUGACAAUAAGACGAGAAGACCCUAUGGAGCUUUAAUUAACCGACCCAAAGAGAUCUUGAUAAUCAACCGACAGGGAUAACAUACCUCUACCAUGGGCCGACAAUUUAGGUUGGGGUGACCUCGGAGAAUAAAACAACCUCCGAGUGAUUUAAAUCUAGACUAACUAGUCGAAAGUACUACAUCACUUAUUGAUCCAAAAACUUGAUCAACGGAACAAGUUACCCUAGGGAWAMCAGCSCAAUUYCUAUUUUAGAGUCCAUAUCGACAAAAGGAU
This 342-nucleotide ribosomal RNA is filed under the name Panthera onca (jaguar). RNAcentral's name for it is "partial 16S ribosomal RNA". It matches the Rfam family "Bacterial large subunit ribosomal RNA", at positions 2002 to 2517 of the family's 2925-position model. Lineage: Eukaryota; Metazoa; Chordata; Mammalia; Carnivora; Felidae. The record is from RNAcentral.